AACGCCCGCCGCUGCCGCGGUCUGCCCAACGCCCGCCGCCGCCUCUGUCUCCAGAAGCACCCGCGGCCCGGAGAAUGCCCGCCAACCGCCGCCGUGUGGGUCGCUCCUUGCCUCAUGGGUUGGUCUGGAGGUCCAACGACGGGGAGGCCCAUCGCGGAACGAGGCGGGGACAUGCCCGCCUGAGCGCGGGGGACGGGUGCGUCCGUUUCUGAUGUCGUGGAUGAACUGAGCGCCGGCGUGGUGGUGGACUGGGGCACUGCGCCAAGUGCGAGGAGCGCCUUGGAAGAAGCACACCAUGAUGGGUUCACCACGACACCAUUUCUCCAUGCUCCAAUAGAAGUUUGGACUCAUGGCGGAGCUGUGCGGCUAGAUGAUUGGAUCUGAUUGAUGCAGUUGAGUCCAGGUAUUGCAUCCCAUUGCUGAUUCUAUCACUAUCAACAAAACGAUCUGGAUCCGGUGCUUUUUGUGACACGUCAUGCUUGCAGGUACAACUUAUGUACAUCUUAUGCAUAUACAAUUUAGAUGUAUCUUUAUGUUUAGUUCUGAGAUGAACCACUUCUUCUUGGUAUGUAGUGAGAAUGAGCGAGGUAGCACAUGUUUUAUAUCAGUUCAUACAGCACAGUGCAAUGUAUUUUCUAGAUAUGCAUAAAUAAGGUGUCACCCAUAGUGUUAGCAUGGGCAAGCUACUAUC
Panicum virgatum (switchgrass) is the source of this 691-nucleotide long non-coding RNA. RefSeq lists it as uncharacterized. Lineage: Eukaryota; Viridiplantae; Streptophyta; Magnoliopsida; Poales; Poaceae. The transcript is spliced from 3 exons. The record is from RefSeq and is a predicted model, not a curated record.